UUGAUUUUUUCUAGUUGCUAAUACCGUAGGAUUGAUGUAAGAAAUUGUAAUUUUUAAUUAAUUAUCUAAUAAAUACACUCUACGGUUGCAGAGCCGUAAUUUUCAGUACAGCUUUGUGGGCUAAUUUUUUUGUAAUUAGUAAGGUAAUUUGCAAAUUUUUUGGACUCUACAGCUGUGAAGCCGUAACUUUUCGUGCAGUUUCGUGAUCUAAUUUUUUUAUAAUUACUAUGGUACACACUGUUAGGAACUACAAUUGAUUUUUUCUAGUUGCUAAUUCCGUAGGAUUGAUGUAAGAAAUUGAAAUUUUUAAUUAAUUAUCUAAUAUUUACACUCUACGGUUGCUGAGCCCUAAUUUUCAGUACAGCUU
Cotesia glomerata is the source of this 367-nucleotide long non-coding RNA. RefSeq lists it as uncharacterized. The transcript is spliced from 3 exons. The record is from RefSeq and is a predicted model, not a curated record. NCBI's taxonomy places the organism in Eukaryota, Metazoa, Arthropoda, Insecta, Hymenoptera, Braconidae.